GGGAAAAUUAUUUCCCCUAAGUGGCUGAUUACACUGACCAAAUUGGAGGACUCAUAAUCCUUUGGUUCCAGGUUCGAAUCCUGGUGGGCCCACCA
RNAcentral lists this transfer RNA (95 nucleotides) under Xanthomonas nasturtii. RNAcentral's name for it is "tRNA-Met". The stretch from base 27 to 84 matches the Rfam family "tRNA", at positions 10 to 63 of the family's 71-position model. Rfam says of the family: Transfer RNA (tRNA) molecules are approximately 80 nucleotides in length. Their secondary structure includes four short double-helical elements and three loops (D, anti-codon, and T loops). The record is from RNAcentral. Lineage: Bacteria; Pseudomonadati; Pseudomonadota; Gammaproteobacteria; Lysobacterales; Lysobacteraceae.